RNAcentral lists this ribosomal RNA (492 nucleotides) under uncultured bacterium. Its description in RNAcentral is "partial 16S ribosomal RNA". It matches the Rfam family "Bacterial small subunit ribosomal RNA", at positions 29 to 507 of the family's 1533-position model. The record is from RNAcentral.
AGCGAACGGCGGCGGUAGGCCUAACACAUGCAAGUCGAACGGCAGCACAGUAAGAGCUUGCUCUUACGGGUGGCGAGAGGCGGACGGGUGGGGAACACAAUGGACCCUACUUCUUCGAGGGGGAUAACGUAGGGAAACUGACGCUAAUAACGCAUACCACCCUCGGGUGAAAGCGGGAGAUGUUCGGACCUUGCGCGAGUGAAUGAGCCGAUGUCGGAUUAGCUAGGUGGCGGGGUAACGGCCCACGAAGGCGGCGAUCCGUAGCUGGUCUGAGAGGAUGGUCGGCGACACUGGAACUGAGACACGGUCCUGACUCCUACAGGAGGCGUCAGUGGGGAAUAUUGGACAAUGGUCGCAAGCCUGAUCCAGACAUACCGCGUGGGUGAAGAAGGCCGUCUGGUUGUAAAGCCCUUUUGUUGGGAAAGAAAAGCAGCAGGUUAAUACCCCGCUGUUCUGACGGUACCCAAAGAAUAAGCACCGGCUAACUUCGUG